This 785-nucleotide unclassified non-coding RNA is filed under the name Bombus terrestris (buff-tailed bumblebee). RNAcentral's name for it is "misc RNA ENSBTSG00005029944.1". Lineage: Eukaryota; Metazoa; Arthropoda; Insecta; Hymenoptera; Apidae. The record is from RNAcentral.
AGUACAAUUUUCAACCGAUAGAUAACGCUACCAUGCCCAAAAUAGCGCAUUUUACAUUAAACGAAUAUAUAAACACAUACGCCUUUUUGCUAUAUGAAAAAUUGAAAAAUUAACAGGGUUUCAGAAUUGAAAUAAAAAUAAUAUCUCAUUUCUACAGCAGUCUACGCUUGGUAUAAUAAACAAGUCAACGAUUAUGAUAAUUACAAUAUCUACGCAAGAAUUAAUUCUAAAACUAAUUCUAAACUAUGACUUUAAAAUGUUUUCCCAUAUGUUCGUACCAUAAGACAGAAGACACAAGAGUAUCUUUUCAUAAUAUGGAUAUUUCUUCGCUUCUCAGAAAAAAGGAAAGAUCUAUCCUUGCGAAAUAAUUCUUAUAUUCAGCAAGAUAAGAAGUUCUGUUUAAAUCCUCUAUUAUAAUCAUCCAUCACGAAUAAUGUGAUGUCCAAUUAAUUCUGAAUUAAUUAAACAGUCGCACGUUUCAACCGAUAUAACUAAUUCACGAUUUCAGUAAUUGAUUUUGAGUUUAUUAAUAACCUCGAGGAUCGUAUUUAAUUAGAAAUGUAUUAUGUAAAUUGACUCAGCAGAAGUAGUCUCUAAUUUAUUACGUAUUUUACAUGAAACAGACUCUACAUUGUGUUAUAUAAAUUGCAUAUAAUUACGGCAAUCUUAUCUAAUUAUCCAAGAUCCAUAAAGUUGUUUAUUCGUAUCACGACGAAGGAACUAGGGAGAAGGAGAUUGUAAAACACAGGAGGAAAGAAAGGAAAUUAUUUGAAUUCCCUUUUUUU